GACGAACGCUGGCGGCGUGCUUAACACAUGCAAGUCGAACGAGAAUCUAUGGAAUGCGAUUUCGGUCAAGUGAAGUAGAGGACAGUGGCGGACGGGUGAGUAACGCGUGAGGAACCUGCCUUUCAGAGGGGGACAACAGUUGGAAACGACUGCUAAUACCGCAUAACGCGUAGAGGUCGCAUGGCCUUUACGCCAAAGAUUUAUCGCUGAAAGAUGGCCUCGCGUCUGAUUAGCUAGUUGGUGAGGUAACGGCCCACCAAGGCGACGAUCAGUAGCCGGACUGAGAGGUUGAACGGCCACAUUGGGACUGAGAUACGGCCCAGACUCCUACGGGAGGCAGCAGUGGGGGAAUAUUGGGCAAUGGGCGCAAGCCUGACCCAGCAACGCCGCGUGAAGGAAGAAGGCUUUCGGGUGUAAACUCUUUGUCAGGGAAGAGUAGAAGACUGUACCUGACGAAUAAGCCACGGCUAACUACGUGCCAGCAGCCGCGG
This 491-nucleotide ribosomal RNA is filed under the name uncultured bacterium. RNAcentral's name for it is "bacterial SSU rRNA". It matches the Rfam family "Bacterial small subunit ribosomal RNA", at positions 28 to 520 of the family's 1533-position model. The record is from RNAcentral.